RNAcentral lists this ribosomal RNA (1350 nucleotides) under Menispora tortuosa. Its description in RNAcentral is "partial 28S ribosomal RNA". It matches the Rfam family "Eukaryotic large subunit ribosomal RNA", at positions 36 to 1417 of the family's 3401-position model. Lineage: Eukaryota; Fungi; Ascomycota; Sordariomycetes; Chaetosphaeriales; Chaetosphaeriaceae. The record is from RNAcentral.
UAGCAUAUCAAUAAGCGGAGGAAAAGAAACCAACAGGGAUUGCCUCAGUAACGGCGAGUGAAGCGGCAACAGCUCAAAUUUGAAAUCUGGCCCCAGGCCCGAGUUGUAAUUUGCAGAGGAUGCUUCCGGUGCGGCGCCGUCCAAGUCCCCUGGAACGGGGUGCCACAGAGGGUGAGAGCCCCGUCGGGUCGGCCGCCAAGCCUAUGUGAAGCUCCUUCGACGAGUCGAGUAGUUUGGGAAUGCUGCUCUAAAUGGGAGGUAGACCCCUUCUAAAGCUAAAUACCGGCCAGAGACCGAUAGCGCACAAGUAGAGUGAUCGAAAGAUGAAAAGCACUUUGAAAAGAGGGUUAAACAGUACGUGAAAUUGUUGAAAGGGAAGCGCUUGUGACCAGACUUGCGCCGGGCGUUCAGCGGGCGUUCUCGCCCGUGCACUCGCCCCGGCGCAGGCCAGCGUCGGUUCGGAUGGGUGGACAAAGGUGCUAGGAACGUGGCUCCCUCGGGAGUGUUAUAGCCUGGCGCGUCAUGCCCCCGUCCGGACCGAGGUUCGCGCUCUGCAAGGACGCUGGCGUAAUNNNNNNNNNNNNNNNNNNNNNNNNNNNNNNNNNNNNNGAGUGUGAGGUUUUGUGCGAGUGUCUGGGUGUCNAACCCGCACGCGUAAUGAAAGUGAACGCAGGUGGGAGCUUCGGCGCACCACCGACCGAUCCUGAAGUUUUCGGAUGGAUUUGAGUAAGAGCAUAGGGCCUCGGACCCGAAAGAUGGUGAACUAUACUUGGAUAGGGUGAAGCCAGAGGAAACUCUGGUGGAGGCUCGCAGCGGUUCUGACGUGCAAAUCGAUCGUCAAAUCUGAGUAUGGGGGCGAAAGACUAAUCGAACCAUCUAGUAGCUGGUUACCGCCGAAGUUUCCCUCAGGAUAGCAGUGUUGGUCUCAGUUUUAUGAGGUAAAGCGAAUGAUUAGGGACUCGGGGGCGCNUUUAGCCUUCAUCCAUUCUCNNANCUUUNAAUAUGUAANAAGCCCUUGUUGCUUAGUUGAACGUGGGCCUUCGAAUGCAGCAACACUAGUGGGCCAUUUUUGGUAAGCAGAACUGGCGAUGUGGGAUGAACCAUACGGGGGGUUAAGGUGCCGGAGUGGACGCUCAUCAGACACCACAAAAGGCGUUAGCACAUCUUGACAGCAGGACGGUGGCCAUGGAAGUCGGAAUCCGCUAAGGACUGUGUAACAACUCACCUGCCGAAUGUGCUAGCCCUGAAAAUGGAUGGCGCUCAAGCGUCCCACCCAUACCCCCCCCUCAGGGUAGAAACGAUGCCCUGAGGAGUAGGCGGCCGCAGCGCUGAGUGACGAAGGCUAGGGCG